Molecule: long non-coding RNA, 493 nt
Filed under: Bos taurus (domestic cattle)
Lineage: Eukaryota; Metazoa; Chordata; Mammalia; Artiodactyla; Bovidae
Description: long non-coding RNA NONBTAT019735
Source: RNAcentral
CAUUUAGGUUUGCAAUUAAAUGGUCAAAGUUUGUUUUUUUGGAAGCACAAUAUAUGUGUUUUAUCAACAAAGUCAGAAAAGGAAGGGCCUGCCUCUUUUAAGCUGUCCCAGUGUAUUGGAAUAGGUUUUUAGAGAUCCUGAAGGCUACAGAGCCCACUUUUCUCUCUUCUCUGGGACUGUAGUAGGUUGCUGCUACUUUGCCAUUCUCUUUUCUCUAAAAGUAUACUAGCUUUCACAUAAAGCAUAUUUGUAGUAUUUUUCAACAUAAAAUUUUGGAAAACAUUGUGCAGAGAUUUGAGUCUGUGGACUUUAAUAGAGUGAACUACUUUUUAAUGUCUGUUUUCUGGCAUUUCAGAAAUGUCAGGAUAUCAUUUGCUUCUGAUGCUCUCUUUUUCUGCCUCCCUUCCUCCUCCUCCAUUAACUCAAUACCUCUGAAGAAUUUUUUCAUAUGUUCAUACAUAAAACUUCAAAUCUGUGUUCUAUGUUAUUUAAG